Molecule: unclassified non-coding RNA, 357 nt
Filed under: soil metagenome
Description: partial contains 5.8S ribosomal RNA, internal transcribed spacer 2, and large subunit ribosomal RNA
Rfam family: 5.8S ribosomal RNA (bases 3-119)
Source: RNAcentral
GAGAAGAACGUAGCGAAAUGCGAUAAGUAAUGUGAAUUGCAGAAUUCAGUGAAUCAUCGAAUCUUUGAACGCACAUUGCGCCCGUCAGUAUUCUGGCGGGCAUGCCUGUUCGAGCGUCAUUACGCCCCUCAAGUCCCCUGUGGACUUGGUGUUGGGGAUCGGCGAGGCUGGUUUUCCAGCACAGCCGUCCCUUAAAUUAAUUGGCGGUCUCGCCGUGGCCCUCCUCUGCGCAGUAGUAAAACACUCGCAACAGGAGCCCGGCGCGGUCCACUGCCGUAAAACCCCCCAACUUUUUAUAGUUGACCUCGAAUCAGGUAGGACUACCCGCUGAACUUAAGCAUAUCAAUAAGCGGAGGA